UCUUUUUCCACCGGAGCUUGCUCCACCGGAAAAAGAAGAGUGGCGAACGGGUGAGUAACACGUGGGUAACCUGCCCAUCAGAAGGGGAUAACACUUGGAAACAGGUGCUAAUACCGUAUAACAAUCGAAACCGCAUGGUUUUGAUUUGAAAGGCGCUUUCGGGUGUCGCUGAUGGAUGGACCCGCGGUGCAUUAGCUAGUUGGUGAGGUAACGGCUCACCAAGGCCACGAUGCAUAGCCGACCUGAGAGGGUGAUCGGCCACAUUGGGACUGAGACACGGCCCAAACUCCUACGGGAGGCAGCAGUAGGGAAUCUUCGGCAAUGGACGAAAGUCUGACCGAGCAACGCCGCGUGAGUGAAGAAGGUUUUCGGAUCGUAAAACUCUGUUGUUAGAGAAGAACAAGGAUGAGAGUAACUGUUCAUCCCUUGACGGUAUCUAACCAGAAAGCCACGGCUAACUACGUGCCAGCAGCCGCGGUAAUACGUAGGUGGCAAGCGUUGUCCGGAUUUAUUGGGCGUAAAGCGAGCGCAGGCGGUUUCUUAAGUCUGAUGUGAAAGCCCCCGGCUCAACCGGGGAGGGUCAUUGGAAACUGGGAGACUUGAGUGCAGAAGAGGAGAGUGGAAUUCCAUGUGUAGCGGUGAAAUGCGUAGAUGUAUGGAGGAACACCAGUGGCGAAGGCGGCUCUCUGGUCUGUAACUGACGCUGAGGCUCGAAAGCGUGGGGAGCAAACAGGAUUAGAUACCCUGGUAGUCCACGCCGUAAACGAUGAGUGCUAAGUGUUGGAGGGUUUCCGCCCUUCAGUGCUGCAGCUAACGCAUUAAGCACUCCGCCUGGGG
This 837-nucleotide ribosomal RNA is filed under the name Enterococcus durans. Its description in RNAcentral is "bacterial SSU rRNA". It matches the Rfam family "Bacterial small subunit ribosomal RNA", at positions 70 to 878 of the family's 1533-position model. The record is from RNAcentral. Lineage: Bacteria; Bacillati; Bacillota; Bacilli; Lactobacillales; Enterococcaceae.